RNAcentral lists this transfer RNA (122 nucleotides) under Lachancea fermentati. It matches the Rfam family "tRNA". Rfam says of the family: Transfer RNA (tRNA) molecules are approximately 80 nucleotides in length. Their secondary structure includes four short double-helical elements and three loops (D, anti-codon, and T loops). The record is from Rfam by way of RNAcentral. Lineage: Eukaryota; Fungi; Ascomycota; Saccharomycetes; Saccharomycetales; Saccharomycetaceae.
GAGAGUUUGGCCGAGUGGUUAAGGCGUCAGAUUUAGGCUUGCGGAGAUUCGCAAGGAUUUCUGAAGAAAAGUCAAGUUCUCUGAUAUCUACGGAUGCGCGGGUUCGAAUCCCGUAGCUCUCA